GAUCCUGGCUCAGGAUGAACGCUGGCGGCGUGCUUAACACAUGCAAGUCGAACGAAGCUCUCCGAAUUGAGAUUUCGGCAAGACGAGGAGAUGACUUAGUGGCGGACGGGUGAGUAACGCGUGGGUAACCUGCCGUAUGCAGGGGGACAACAGUUGGAAACGACUGCUAAUACCGCAUAAGCGCACGGUUCUGCAUGGAACAGUGUGAAAAGAUUUAUCGGCAUACGAUGGACCCGCGUCUGAUUAGCUAGUUGGUGAGGUAACGGCCCACCAAGGCGACGAUCAGUAGCCGGCCUGAGAGGGUGAACGGCCACAUUGGGACUGAGACACGGCCCAAACUCCUGCGGGAGGCAGCAGUGGGGAAUAUUGCACAAUGGGGGAAACCCUGAUGCAGCGACGCCGCGUGAGUGAAGAAGUAUCUCGGUAUGUAAAGCUCUAUCAGCAGGGAAGAAAAUGACGGUACCUGACUAAGAAGCCCCGGCUAACUACGUGCCAGCAGCGGC
RNAcentral lists this ribosomal RNA (503 nucleotides) under uncultured bacterium. Its description in RNAcentral is "bacterial SSU rRNA". It matches the Rfam family "Bacterial small subunit ribosomal RNA", at positions 15 to 518 of the family's 1533-position model. The record is from RNAcentral.